CUGGAGUGUGGGGUCCCUCUGUGGCUACAGGGCGGGAUGGUGGGAGGAGGCGUGGCCUGCGGACUAGGGGCAGGGCCCGUUGGGAGGCGGGGCUGCGAGCGGAAGGCGGGGCCCCAACGAGGCCGCCUAGAACCUGCACGCGGAUCUUCAGGAAUUCCUGAAGCAGGGCUCUUUGCACCUUCUGCGCGCGCGCUUGUGUGUCUGUCCGUGUCCCCGUCUUGCCCAGAAGGGCUCAGUAGGCUGUGGGGGCCUUUUUUUGGAGGAGGCGUGGGGUGGCUGAGUUCUGCCACGAUGAAAGUCAAGGUCAUUCCUGUGCUUGAGGAUAACUACAUGUACCUGGUCAUCGAGGAGGACACGCGAGAGGCUGUGGCUGUGGAUGUGGCGGUGCCCAAGAGGCUGCUGGAGAUCGCAGGCCGAGAGGGAGUGUCUUUGACCACGGUGCUAACCACCCACCACCACUGGGACCACGCUCGGGGCAAUGUGGAGCUGGCGCGUCUACAACCGGGGAUGGUGGUGAUGGGCGGGGACAAACGCAUCUGUGGGCUGACCCGCAUGCUGGUACAUGAGGAGGAACUACGGGUGAGUACUGAGUAUGCCACAUGGGAAAUGCGGGAAGGGACGACCCACCCCCGACCCGCCCUCACAGGUCCGCUUGCCCCUCUGCAGUUUGGGGCCAUCCAUGUGCGCUGCCUCCUGACGCCUGGCCAUACCUCUGGCCACAUGAGCUACUUCCUUUGGGAGGAUGAAAGCCUGGACCCGCCUGCCCUCUUCUCGGGGGACGCACUGUCCGUGGCUGGCUGUGGCUGGCACUUGGAAGGCACUGCCCAGCAGAUGUACCAGAGUCUGACAGAGACCCUUGGCACCCUGCCCCCACAGACGAAGGUGUUCUGUGGCCACGAGCACACACUGUGCAACCUGGAGUUUGCACACACAGUGGAGCCCCACAAUGACCACGUGAGAGCCAAACUGUCUUGGGCCCAGAAAAGAGAUGAGGACGAUGUGCCCACUGUGCCAUCCACCCUGGGCGAGGAGCUGCUGUACAACCCCUUCCUGAGGGUGGCAGAAGAGGCGGUACGCAAGUUCACAGGCAAAGUGGCCCCAGCCGAGGUCCUGGAGGUGCUGUGCAGGGAGCGGGCUUGCUUCCAGCAGGCUGUGGAGCCACCACAGCCACAGGCCCGGGCACUCCUUGCACUGCAGUGGGGGCUCUUGGGCCACCAGAAGUGAGCCACCCAGGGCCCACUCAACUCCAUGUUGCUCCUCCCACGACUCUCAGUCUGCCUGGACCCACACAAGGGUGGCCUCUGUGGACCUGCCUGGCUGUAUGCCCAGCCUUCGAGGAUCAGCAAGUGGUACUCUCCUCCACUGCUCCUGGAGGUAGACCUGCAGGACCUCUGUGCAGCCACACACCUGUCUGUGCCUGAGCAGUCCUGCCUGGGUUCUGCUCAGUGAAUAAAUCUCUGAGAGGCCCUUUGGGGCACAGACGCUCCAAGACAGCAGUGAUUCCAGACAUGCUGGGCAUGUCCUUUAUCAGAGGUGAAACUGGGUCAGAGACGGGCCUGGCAGGAACCCAGCCAUGGCGGCAUGAUGGCCAGGGAAGACUUGUGCAGGGAUGCAGCCUAAGAUACAGAGCUGACCUUAGGCCCACAACUCUGUAACCCUAGUUUCAGGAGUCCAGAUGUCCUUUCCUGCAGCAGUCCCCAUACUUGACACUACUAGUCGUCACCUGCCCCCUGCCCUGUGGCUUCCAGGUGAUUCCAGACUUCAGGGAUGGCACCUGCAGGAACUCCGGAGCCCCUCACUAUAGAGCCACCAUGGCCAGGAAAGGCAAUGUCCAUAGAAGGGCCAGUGGAAGAGAGUCCCAAACCUCAGAGAAUCUUCAGCCUCGUCUUCCACCCCUCACCCUACCUGCAAAGCCAGUACAGAGCCCGGGGUGUGCAGGCACAGGUCACAUUUCCAGACCACGAAAUCCUGUGUGUAUCUGGAACCCACUUUAACAUGGGCUCUAACACACUGUGCAUCUCCUUUUGUUUCUGGGAGAGCCCUGGGGUCUGAGGUGAGAGGCUGUGCUGCUGGGCGCUGGCCCCAGCAGACCUCGAGGCCUCCUACCACCUGAUGCUCAGGCCCGAGCUGGGCUUCUCUAUGGCAUGGUACUGGGUGUGCAGCAGGCGGCUGGCCCGCUCUGAGCUCUCACCCUGCAGCCACUGCUGGUACAGCUCCUGGACCCCAGGCACAUCCUCAGGUGUCUCCAUCCUGACCAUGCUAUACAGGCUCUCCACCUGCUGGAGAAGGUCUUUGCUGGACAUGUCCAGGGCCUUGAGUUGGCCUCCACCAUUCAGGCAUCCUGUGCAGAACAGGUUAUGGUCACAAGAGUGUCAGGUGGGGUCAAAGUGCACACCCUCUCCCCACUCACCUCCUCCAGCGCUGGAGGGGUGCUGCCAACUCCAUCCCAGCAGCCCCCGCCCCUGCCAUCUCCUGCCGGGAGGUGCACCUGAGGGGCAGGCCAUGACCUCCACAUAAUGGUAGGGGCAGCGGCCUCGCUUGAGCUUCUGGACCAGGUUCUGGAUGUUGCGGAAGCCAUAGGCAGUGGCAAAGUGUAGCAGCACCUGGCCCUCCCUCUCCAGGGUCACCUCCUGGAAGUCCCUGUUCCUGAGGAUGGGAGAGACUAUAUGCACCACCAACACCAGGCUCCUGUACACACACAGGGACCCUGCUGGGAUAGGGGAACUCAGCACUUCCACCCCCUGCUCCUGGGCAGGGGAGGGAGGGUAGAACGAGUGGAGUGCUCCCUCCAACCAGAAGUCCAACAGGUGACCUUAACCUCUCCCAGGUCUGUCUCCUCACCUGUGAAAUGCGAGUCCCCUUUCCUAAGGCUGGUCUUGAGGCAUGGCAAGGGAGGACCUAGCCUUGCCCUCCCUCCCAGAUGCAGGUGUCACUGGUAUCCACCUGUCCUGAGGACAGCGGCCUUGGGCUCAGGAUCUUUGCUAAGGGGGAAACUGAGGCCCCCACUUGUGCCCAGUGCUCCAGGGUCUACCACCAAGCCCACCAAGAGGACCCAGGGCUGGGGAGGCACCAGUCUAGGAGCUUUAUGGCUAUCCUGUCCUGGUGCCCCAGGCCACCCCACUGACCUCAAAGGCCUGUAGGUGACCUCAUCCACAUGGACUCCAAAGAGCUCUCUUGCUGCAUGCCGGAACACAUGCUCCAGGUAGCCCCCUGAGCCCCCACCCCGGUGGCUGAUGGGCUCCUCAGCAGAUGUGCUGCUGGACCUGUGGAAGGGGCAGGUCAGUGUGGGUGAGGACAGCAGGGCCUCAGCACAGCUGUGUUCAAGCUUUUCUAGGUGGGAAACAAGUCCUGGGCACAAAGGAACGUCUUGGAAUGACCCCAGGGCCCCUGGUGUGUCUGACACUGUCCCGGGGAGCUCAGGCCUCUCCAAGUUGGGCUGUGCCUCUCAGGCCUGGGGCAGGCCAUGGGAGGGAAGGAGAGGCACUGCCCACCCCACGGCAGCCUGGUUCCCUCUGCUGACUUACAGGCCAUCCAGAGGGGCUGGCUCCAGCUCUGAGAGCGAGACCCCCUCCUCUUCCAGCAGCUCGAGGACUUCUCCUGUGUGGGACCACAGCACGGGUGCUCCAACCGCUCGAACCUCAAGCUGCCCGCAUGCCUGGCAGCUGCAUCUUGGCCCCAGCAGGCCCACAUAUUCACCCAGCCAGUGGUGGGAAAGGAUGACCCCUCUAAAGACCCUCAUGGCUGCCUCAUUCCCUCAGGGUGGCAUAAGGUGAACCAGGUAACUGUGCUGGUCUAGUGCUGUCUGCCCAGCUUCCUGGGCAGUUCAUUUUCCCGUCUUGCUAGUACUUGAGAGACUCUGAGACUUCUCAACUCAGCAAUGGGGAGCACAUGUGAGUCAGAAGGCUGAACUGGAGCCUUUCCACAACCCCCAGACCCACUCAAGCCAACAAGGAACUCCAGGCCCAAGGGCUGCAGGUGUCCCAGAGGGGUCAGCUGAGAAUGCCCUGCCUCCUGGGUGAGGACAAUACCUGUAGUGAGGACGCAGUCCACAUCUCGAGCCUGGUGCUCCUGGCUAUAGAAGUCGGGCCUGGAGGCCUCCAGCUUUUUGUCGUAGCAGGGCAUCACUGUGACAUGGUACACCUUGUCGGGGGCCAGGCGCUACAGGAGGAGAGAAACUUGGUCCCACCUGACUACAGCUCGCUCUGUGACAAGCGAGGUGAGAGGUGGCCAUGCAGCUGGCCUUGAACAGCCCUUCAGGCUGGCACUGCUUCCCAGCAGCCUCCUCACUGAUGCCGUGGCCCUGCAGUGGACGCCAGAGGUCCUGCAGCACCCAGCUCCAACAGAGGAAGAGGCCUCAGCCUUCAUGGUUCUGGGGUCAACAGAAAAAGCAGGUUGUGGUGCAGGAGAUCUGAGGGCCAGGAACCUGACUUGGCACCAGAGCACUUGCCUAGCAUGCAUGAGGCCUGGGUUUCGAUUCCAGCACCACACACAGACUUCAAGGAAGCCUGUGUCCGUGCAGAAGCAGCACAGCACAGGACUAAGGUCAGAAGAAGUGUAGGCUCCCCGCCUCCUGUGGGCCAGUGGCACCAGUUUGGAGUCCUCAUGGCUCAGCAGGUGCCCUUGUUUACCCAGCAGCCUGUGGAGGUCACCUGAUUGCAGCCUGGCUUAGGCCUCUUGCUCCCGAGGGGCUGGGCCACCUCUAGGUGAGUGAAGAGCACCUUCAUAGGCAGCUGCCAUUAAUGCUUAUGACCCCAAAUGCCUCCAGAGGGUACAUGGCCACAGCCACAGUGACUGGAGCCAGGGCCACCAAUGCCAGGGUCACAGCUGCCACUCUCCAGCGUGCUGCCCUACACGACCUAAGGCUGUUACCUGCUGUUGGGCGAAGAAGUCCUUGACCAGGGAGCCCAUGACCUGCUGUGGGGACCGGGCCGUGCUGAUGUAGGGGAGGAUGAAGCUGCCAUGGGUCUUCUCAGCAUAGCAGAUCCAGCCUGUGCCGGCAGAACCAACAGGAGUACCAGCCUCCAGGCCACAGAAGGGGAGAGACUGCAGGCAUUUUCCUGAUGGGGCGCCUCCUCCAAGAGGCCUGAGGUACUGACUGGUCCAAGAGCUCUGCCUCCCCACCUGCUCUCCAGGUCCUGAGCCUUGCUGCUGGUAUGGUCAGCUUUUAACCACAUGAUUUGGAACCUUGCCACCUGCACAACCAUGAACACACCUGGGCAGGCAGAAGCCAGCACAGGCAAGGCCACUCUGGAGUUGGCUCGAUCUCGGAAUCGCCGCACGAACUCUCGCUGGCUCUCAAGGAGGCUCAAGUUCCUUGAGAAGGCAGUGUCGAAGACGAAGUGCGCCCCUGGAAAAAAGGCACAAGCUUGACCCCCACCACAGCUGGCACCAGCCAUGGGUGACCCUUCUGGUGCUGGCCACAGCAGGGGCAGCACUGUUCACAUCCCCAAAAAUAGGGCACUGCCCCCAGCGGCACCAGUUGCUUCUACUGCAGCCCCAGGAAGCACGGAACAGCCUGUGCCAUUGGGAUAAGCCAGGUGCUGCCUGGGGCCAGGGGACAACUUCCUGUGAUGCAACUCCCACUGCAGUGAACUCCUGUUUAUUUAUUUAUUUUUUUGUACUGGGGAUUGAACCCAGGGGUGCUUAGCCACUGAGUAACAUCACCACCCUUUUUAUUUUUCAUUUUGAGACAAGGUCUCACUAAGUUACUCAAGACCUCACUAAGUUGCUGGGGCUGGCCUUGAACCUGUGAUCCUCCUGCUUCAGCCUCCCUAGCUGCUGGGAUUACAGGCGUGUGCCACCAUACCUGGUUCCUGUUUGAUUUCUUUUUUUUUAAAUAUUUUUUAGUUUUCGGCGGACACAUCUUUUUUUUUU
Marmota monax (woodchuck) is the source of this 5874-nucleotide RNA transcript. It is a transcript of the gene named hydroxyacylglutathione hydrolase like, with no coding region annotated. The record is from RefSeq and is a predicted model, not a curated record. Lineage: Eukaryota; Metazoa; Chordata; Mammalia; Rodentia; Sciuridae. The transcript has 8 exons.